UACGUAGGGCGCAAGCGUUGUCCGGAAUUAUUGGGCGUAAAGAGCUCGUAGGCGGCUUGUCACGUCGGGUGUGAAAGCCCGGGGCUUAACCCCGGGUCUGCAUUCGAUACGGGCUGGCUAGAGUGUGGUAGGGGGAGAUCGGAAUUCCUGGUGUAGCGGUGAAAUGCGCAGAUAUCAGGAGGAACACCGGUGGCGAAGGCGGAUCUCUGGGCCAUAACUGACGCUGAGAAGCGAAAGCAUGGGGGAGCGAACAGG
RNAcentral lists this ribosomal RNA (255 nucleotides) under uncultured bacterium. RNAcentral's name for it is "partial 16S ribosomal RNA". It matches the Rfam family "Bacterial small subunit ribosomal RNA", at positions 524 to 776 of the family's 1533-position model. The record is from RNAcentral.